GCGGAUUCGAUCGAGAUCUGCAGUGCCUGGCUGGAGCGGGGGCAGGGUGGUGUGUGGUGUGGGGGCAGGCAAAGGCAGGGGCUCGCGAUCUGCGCGGCGGUGGCGUGUCCUGCGUGCAGUGGAGCAGCCUGUCCGGUUCUACGAGACAGGAUAUGGCGGCCUUCGUCUGUUUCACGCUUCUCUGGCUUUAUCUACUACUACUAGCUUCUCCAAAGUUUGCUCGUCACUCUUUAUAACUCCUCUUAACACAACAGACAAUACCACUUCAAACCACAAGUGCAAAUGGAUGUGUAAACAAAAACAGUGUUUUUUUGCAACUUCUUCUCUGUUUUGGUUUCUCUUUUCCACCCGUCAGUGAGACAGUGACGGUGUGUCUGCCUGUCCGUGUUUCUGACCGGAGUGGACAGCCAUUACUGCCCCUCUGAUCUCUGACGGUGCCGCCGUGAUGACUGAUGAAGGGGGUAGUGCAGAGCAAAGGCACGCACGGACCAUGAUGAGAUCUGCUCGGAGGAGUUAAAGACCAACCAGUGCCAAUCUCCAAUCUCGUGACCAGAUGCAGACGCGUGCGCAGAGGAUAUCAUCAUCAUCGACCGCAAGCAGCAGAGUGCCAGCUCCGGGCGCAGUGCUACGAACGCACUGACUGCACUGGCUAAUCACAUGUACAAGUCUCGUCCGUAGACCGUAGUAGACAGUAGUAUACGACCGUACUCGUACAGGGAAAAGGUGGAUCAUCUGAUCCGAUCACGGAUGGAUGAGAAAAAGCGACCCGACAGAGAAGAGCUUCAGAGUUGAGUGCAUCCAUGCCAUGGAUAGGUAGGCAUUCCGAUCCCCCGCCGGAAAAGCUUGUGGCGAACUGCAUGCAGCCACUGCCGCGAGUGUUUUUUUUUUUUU
This 891-nucleotide unclassified non-coding RNA is filed under the name Zea mays. Its description in RNAcentral is "misc RNA Zm00001eb337470". Lineage: Eukaryota; Viridiplantae; Streptophyta; Magnoliopsida; Poales; Poaceae. The record is from RNAcentral.